GAGUUUGAUCAUGGCUCAGACGAACGCUGGCGGCAUGCCUAACACAUGCAAGUCGAACGAGACCUUCGGGUCUAGUGGCGCACGGGUGCGUAACGCGUGGGAACCUGCCUUAGGUUCGGAAUAACUCAGAGAAAUUCGAGCUAAUACCGGAUAAUGUCUUCGGACCAAAGAUUUAUCGCCUUUAGAUGGGCCCGCGUAAGAUUAGCUAGUUGGUGGGGUAAAGGCCUACCAAGGCGACAAUCUUUAGCUGGUCUGAGAGGAUGAUCAGCCACACUGGGACUGAGACACGGCCCAGACUCCUACGGGAGGCAGCAGUGGGGAAUAUUGGACAAUGGGCGAAAGCCUGAUCCAGCAAUGCCGCGUGAGUGAUGAAGGCCUUAGGGUUGUAAAGCUCUUUUACCCGAGAUGAUAAUGACAGUAUCGGGAGAAUAAGCUCCGGCUAACUCCGUG
RNAcentral lists this ribosomal RNA (450 nucleotides) under uncultured bacterium. Its description in RNAcentral is "bacterial SSU rRNA". It matches the Rfam family "Bacterial small subunit ribosomal RNA", at positions 9 to 507 of the family's 1533-position model. The record is from RNAcentral.